RNAcentral lists this long non-coding RNA (6740 nucleotides) under Daucus carota (carrot). RNAcentral's name for it is "long non-coding RNA (DCAR_LNC000726)". The record is from RNAcentral. Lineage: Eukaryota; Viridiplantae; Streptophyta; Magnoliopsida; Apiales; Apiaceae.
CAUUCAAUUCGCAGCAACUCUACAUUUUAACUUUACCAACUUCAACCGUACCAAUGAUGAUCAAAUAAAAUACGAGAGAGAUGCCUUUACGGCCAACGAUGUCAUCCACCUCACAAAUGCCGUGGUUGGUCAAUCAGCUCAGUCAAGUAUCGGACGAGUUACUUAUAGACAGCCUUUGCAUCUAUGGGAUAAGGCCUCAAGAAACCUUACUGACUUCACUACCCGUUUCACUUUUGUGAUUGAUUCCAGAAAUGAUACAUCGUAUGGCGAUGGGAUGGCGUUCUUUCUAGUUCCAAAUGGUACCGGGGUCCCGGCACUUGCAACAUCUGGUGGAACAUUUGGACUUACAAAUGAUAGUCAGCCUACCAACACCACUGCCAAUAAAUUUGUUGCUGUUGAAUUUGACGUGUAUGGGAACGACUGGGACCCUGGCGAGUCGCUGGACCCUGAUCUCACCAUUCCUCCCGGUGAGAAACCUGAGCAUGUAGGUGUUGAUAUCAACUCUGUGGAAUCCGAGGAAACUGAGCUUUGGAAAUAUGGGAGUUCUAGUGUUAUAAAUGGGUGGACAAACGAAGCUCAGAUAAGUUAUGCUUCUAGUUCAAAAAAUCUUAGUGUUUCAUUCCGUACACUAAAUUACAAAGAUUCGCCUCAAAGUUUCUACUUUGUGGUUGACCUAAGGGACCAUUUGCCAGAUUGGGUCAGUGUUGGCUUUUCAGCUUCAACAGGAGCCGCAAUUUCUUACAAUACAAUCAAUUCAUGGGAAUUCAGUUCUACUCUGGAGUCCCAUGCAGAGGCUCCGAGUCCAAGUCAUCCGUUACCACCGGUUCCGCCUCCAAGUCAAACCGGUCCAGUACCACAGGUUCCAAAACAUAUUAAAACAAAUAAUAAGAGGAUGGGUCUUGUGAUUGGAUUGGCGGUGGGGGUGUUUCUUCUUGUUUGUUCUGGGGCCAUAUACCGUAUUUUGAAGAAGAAGAAAGAGAAACAGGAAUAUGAAAAUAAUAUUUGUUUUGAGGAUGAUUUCAUGGAUGAUGAAUUUGAGAAAGGAACAGGACCUAAAAAGUUCUCUUAUAGUGCUCUUGCUAUGGCAACAAGUAGCUUUGCACCACAUGGAAAACUUGGAGAAGGUGGAUUUGGGGAAGUUUACAAAGGCUUCUUGAGUGAACUGAAUUUGGAUGUGGCUGUCAAAAGAGUAUCAAGAAAUUCUAGACAAGGAAUAAAGGAGUAUGCAUCCGAAGUGAGGAUCAUUAGUCGUCUCAGACAUAAAAAUUUGGUGCAGCUCAUUGGUUGGUGCCAUGAACGGAAUAAUCUUUUACUUGUGUAUGAGUAUAUGCAAAAUGGUAGCCUGGAUUCCCAUCUUUUCAAGGGGAAGAGCUUGCUGUCUUGGAGUACAAGGUAUAAAAUUGCUCAAGGCCUGGCGUCAGUAUUGCUUUAUCUACAUGAAGAAUGGGAGCAAUGUGUGGUGCAUAGAGACAUUAAAUCAAGCAAUGUCAUGUUAGAUUCGAGUUUUAACACUAAGCUAGGUGAUUUCGGACUGGCCAGAUUUGUUGAUCAUGAAAGGGGUGCACAAACAACUAUGGUGGCCGGGACACGAGGCUACAUGGCCCCUGAAUGUUUUUUCACAGGCCAAGCUAGCAGGAUGUCGGAUGUUUUCAGCUUCGGAGUUGUAGCACUGGAAAUAGCCUGUGGUCGAAAACCUAUUGACAUCAAGCUAGAAGAAAGUCGGAUAGAAUUAGUAAAGUGGGUUUGGGAGCUUCAUGGAAGGGAACAAAUUCUUGAAGCAGCAGACCCAAAACUCUCGGGGGAUUAUGACGAGAGUCAAAUGAAACGGUUGAUGAUGGUCGGGCUCUGGUGUGCACAUCCAGAUUGGCCAAUUAGGCCUUCCAUUAAGGAGGCCAUUCAAAUUCUUAAUUUUGAUGCUCCAUUGCCUGUUCUGCCGCCCCAGAUGCCUGUGGCAACCUAUUCCAUACCAUCAAACUUGUGUUCAGAAAACAGGGCCACAACCCAGAGAAGCCAAACUCAUUCUUCAGGCUCUAGUAACGGAACUGAUUCAUCAGUGUCUGCAACUGCAGCACGUCUAAAUAAUACUAGAUAAGCGAGAUAAGCGUGUCGGUUAAUAUGCAACUCAAUACUUAUAUGUGUGAUUUUGCAAUUUGAUUUCAGUUUGAUUGUAAUUCAUUCAGUGAUUGCUAUUUUUUCAUAAUUUAUUUAACAUUACAACAAAUAAAAACUAUAUCAUUUAAUCAAAUUAUUAUUGAAUUAAAUUAUUGCCUCGCGUAAUUAUAUGUAUAAUUUAAAAUUAAAAAAAUACUACUCCCUCCAUCCCAUUUUAAGUGUCCAUUUUGUCAAAAAAAAAUUUCCCAAAAUAUGUGUCAUACUCUUUAACCCAUGUAAAAUUUAUACCAUUUCCAAUAUAAUAUUAAAUACAACCAACAACUCCUCAUAAAUAUAUUUAGAAGCAUUAUGAAUGUAUAGUGUAAUUUGAAGUGAGAGAAGGUUCAAUACACAAUAAUUAAUGAGAUAUGUAAUUAAUAUGUAUGAAAACUAAGCUGAUUAGUUGUGGAAAGAUAGUUGUGGAAAGAUGGUGAUAAAAAUAUUACAUUAAUUGUUUCUUAAUAUGUGUGAAAAUUGCAAAGUGGACACUUAAAAUGGGAUGGAGGGAGUAAAAUUUUACAUUAUUAUCAUAUUUUUUAGUCAUACCAGAGUAAAUUUCUUAUUGCCCAACAAUAAUUUCUCUAUAAUAACUUUAAUUUUCCUUUAACAGGAUCUAGAAUAAAUAUGUUAUCUUACGAAUUUAGUAUGUCUCUAAAUUUUGUAAUGUGAAUAUGUGAUCUUAAUUUUAUUAUUGAUUAAAUAGUUGAUACAUGUCAUUUUUUCAUGACCAAAAAACUGGCAAGAAACCUCCAGGGUAUUAAUUGGAGCUUUACAUGUGUGUGCUUGUGUAGUUACUUGUUUGUGUUUUAUUACUUCAUCAAAUUUGCAAGCCAGAAUAAUUAGAAAACGUGUAAUCCGCGAACCAGUGCUUGCAUUAUAAUCAUUAUAGUUGUUGUUUUCUCAUUGAAGAAUGUUGUUGCCAAUCUAGACUUGUCAGCUCUGUCUUUUUUCCAAUUCUAUGAACAUAAUCAUCCAAGUCUUUUGACAAAUUAAAGUUGAUCAGAUGGGAGACAUGGGCAACAUCCAGACCUUCUGCACCAACAUAGUAGCCAGCAGGAGGAUAGGCGUAAUCAGUAAUACCAGUUCUGAUUUUUGAAUGAUCUUAAUGCCGUUUUCAGCAAAUUCAAAAACAAAUAAUAAAAAGAUGGGUAUAGUGAUUGGAUUGGCGGUAGGGGUGUUUGUUCUCGUAUAAUGCUCUUGCUAUGGAAAUAAGUAACUUUACACAAUUUGGGGAAGUUUACAAAGGCUUCCUGAGAGAAUUGAACUUGGGUGUGGCUGUCAAGAGAGUGUCAAGAAAUUCCCGAAGUGAGGAUCAUUAGCACUGGAAAUAGCAUGUGGUCGAAAACCUAUUGAGCUCAUGGUAGAAGAGAGUCAGGUAGAAUUAGUAAAGUGGGUUUGGAGCUUUAUGCAUGGAAGGGAACAAAUUGUUGAAGCAGCUGACCCAGAACUCUCCACUAGUGAUGAUUGUUGGGCUUUGGUGUGCACAUCCACAUUGGAUAUUUGGGCAGAUGUCUGUCUGGUUUAACCCGGAUCAAUUACGGCCCUGUUAUAAUAUAAAGGUACAACUCCAAUGAUAUAGUUUUUUUUUUUUUUUUUUAAAGUCUACAUACACGUAUAUGAAUUGUAUCGAAAUACAAUAAACCGCAUCAGGGAUUUCUUUCUUUUAAGAAAGUUUAUCAUCUAACCGAAAGUCAUGCAAGCAUAACUCCGGACGCUUAGACAAUAAAGCUUAAAUGAAUAAGUAAAGAAAACCCAUAAGUCCCGUAGCUUCCAGAGUAUCCUGAAAAAACAAAUCAACCAAAACAUAAAUCAACAUACAAAAAAAUCACACACAUAUAAGUUUAAUUAAAGUAAAAUAAAAAAUCUAAUAAAAAGCAAAACAAAAAUAUAUAUAUAUAUUAAAAAUAGAUAGAAAAUAAAAUAAUAUAGAAAUAUUAAUUAAUUUCUAACCAAAGGAAAAUCCUUUGGUUAGACACAUAAAAAUUAAUUUUUUGGGACAAUAAAAAUUAAAAUUUAAGUGAGGAGUAAAGGAUGAAAUAUAAUUAAAUAUAAUUAAAUAAAAUGAUCAUCAAAAUGGUCAAUAAGCCAUUAAAAGUGGCAUCCAUAAUUGGAACAAAAAGCCAUAAAAGGCACGAUAAAGCCAUUAAAGGCACAAUAAAGUCAUCAUUAAUGACACCCAUAAAUGGUUUUUAAAUUUUGAAUCUUUGAAAAAUAAUAAAAGUAAACAAUUUUCAAAUUUGGAUGGUAAUUGAUUAUAACUUAAGAAAAGUUGACUAAUCUCCAUAAUAUACAGACAACACAUUUAAGGAGCAUUAAAACACAUUUAAGACAUAUAAAUCCAAAACCAAUUUCAAAUUUAAAUUUAUCAAUUUAUCAAUUUAAGAUAAUUCAUUUGUAUAUAAACGGUCAAUUAAUUAUCCAAAUUAAAGCAUAAUUUACUCAAAUUAAAAACAAAAUACAAGUUAAUGCAUGUAGUGGAAAGUCAAAUUCCAAGGAUAAACAAAUUUAAAAAGGAGUCAACUAUCCAUUCAAAAAUAACUGAUUUUAAGAUUUGCAAUUACUACUAUUAAAACCAAAUAAUAUUCAAAAUUACAAAUCUAAAACUAGAAUCAUGGAAUAAAACACGAACUAAUUAAGUCACCAGUGCACCACCGUCACCAUCCAAGAACCGCAAACAAUUAUUAUGAACACUAGCGAAAAAACUAAAAAUCGAACAUGAAGAUACAAAACACCAAAUGUAACUGAUCCUAUAUAUAAUAAAAGAUCGAUAAUAUCUAUCCAAUCUUUUCAAGUUCGGACAAAAAUAGAUAGAAAAAGAUGAAAAUUGGAUACGAAAACAACCCAUACAAUAUUAAAUUUAAGCACACAAUUAUACCUAAUCAUGAAAUAUGAAUCAUCUCACAAUAAUAUAUACAGUAAAACAAAAACCAAUCACAUAAUCAUAAUCAUGUAGGUUUAUGUUUUGAAAAGAUCACACCUGUUUUUUUUAAGUAUUUCCGCAGAUCUCCAAGACAAUUUGCUGAUGAAGGAGGUGUUGACAGCGUAGAUGGCGUUGCCCAAAGAUUAGUCUAGAGUCGGAUAUUCUUUCCUUAGCCAUGGCGCUUAGAUCAAAGAUUAAAAGUUAAAAAAAUACGUUAAAAAGAAAAUAGCAAUGUUGGUGAAACAUGAUCUGAGAAGGGUGGCUAAUGCGGUAGGAGUGGGACAAUGGUGGUGUGUUCAUGUGACACGACUACCAGACCCUAGAACUUGCUGCCUGGCGAUUUUAGUUGAAGGGACGAGAGAGGGAUUAUUAAUUCUACACGCCAGCUAUCAUCUUUUACUAGAGCCAGAGCUUAUUUGUUUGCUGACAGAUGGGUCUUUUGUAAUCCCAGUCCCCGUCCAAGGCUACUCCAAUGAUAUAGUUGAAUGCCCAAACAAAGUAUCAAACACAAGCUUGCAUUCUGAAGGGCCGAAGAACUCGGUCAAUUCCAACUCCAAAAUUUCUAGUUUAUCAAAAUAUCUCUUUUUUCAAAUAUAAAAAUCUAAUUGAAUUUUAAUAUUGAAAGAUAAAAUAAAAUAUACAGUGAUGACUCUAAAGUUUAGAAAACACUUUAGAAAAGUGUGCAAUAUUUUAGGAAGUUACGUGAGUAUAUAAUAUAAUAUAAAUUAAUUUAUAAAUAAAUACUUCAAACUACGGCCACCUGACAUUUUCAUUACAAACCCCACACAUACUUAAAAAUAACAUGUUCUUUGAACUUAUACUCUUAAAUAAAGUACUCCCUCCGUCCCUUUUUAUCUGUCCAUUUUGGAAAAAAAAACACAUACCAAGGAAUAAUUGAUUGUAUAAAUUUUUUCAUUAAAUACCUCUAAUUAAUAUCUUGAAAAUGGUGGAAUACCCCUACUUUAUGUCUUGAAAACAUGAAUUCAACCAAGUUUUAAAUAAGUCAAGCCUUGAAAAUUGAAAUUAUGGAGAUAUAUUUGAAAAACUAUCAUUAAAUUAGUUUUGAAAGUAUAAAUGGACAGAUAAAUAGGGACGGAGGGAGUAGUUUGAACUCGACAAAGAGAAAACUAAAAAAUCAAAUAGUUCGAAAAUUCAUUUAAUGCACAAUUCAAUAAUGUAUACUAUAAAGUUAAAGUAAAUUACACAGAAAAAUAAUUUGCUCCAUACGGUCAACAUUAUUAUUUUAAAAGUAAAAGUUUGCGGCACAUGGGGCCUGUUUACGUAUCGAAUGGUUUAUAAUAAAGAUUGAAGGACUUCGAUACCAGGAAGAUGAAUUUGCAUCCAAAUUUCAUAAUAUGGGUUCAAGCAUGGUUUGCAGCCAUCUCCGGUCAGGAGGCUCUACUAUCUCGUCUAUUUUCAUCAGAUCUCUGAUAUUUCUUAGUACCAUUCAAUUCGCAGCAACUCUACAUUUUAACUUUACCAACUUCAACCGUACCAAUGAUGAUCAAAUAAAAUAUGAGAGAGAUGCCUUUACCACCAACGAUGUCAUCCACCUCACUAAAGCCGUGGUUGGUCAAUCAGCUAAGUCAAGUAUCGGACGAGUUACUUAUGGACAGCCUUUGCAUCUAUGGGAUAAGGCCUCAGGAAACCUUACUGACUUCACUACCCG